Lolium rigidum is the source of this 813-nucleotide long non-coding RNA. RefSeq lists it as uncharacterized. The transcript has 3 exons. The record is from RefSeq and is a predicted model, not a curated record. Lineage: Eukaryota; Viridiplantae; Streptophyta; Magnoliopsida; Poales; Poaceae.
ACGUGUUCCAUAUAACCUCCCUUAAUCCCAAUCCUUCUCCUCCAGCUAAUAAUGCGUACCGUCCGCCGAUGGGAAACCACCCCCAAAAUUCUGUGCGAGCAUCUCCAUCUCGAUCUAUCUCUAUUGCUGUCUCCUUCUCCAGUUCCACCGGUCGUGCUUCGUUCUCAUAUGGGAUUCGGAUUCCAAGGAUUAGGCAAUGAUUUCCGGCGGCGAGACGAACACCAUUGCAUCACAGACCAUUGACGAGCGAGUAGGUGCAGCGGCACUGCUGGUCCGGCAAUCCAAUUCGGAACUGGACAUCUUUAAAUCUCCCUCUCGCCCCAUCCAAUUUUUGCAGUCUUUUUUUUCGAGAUCUAAAUACAGUAUUAUUUUUGCAGUCUUUGGUUGGCUUGAUCUGUUACUCAUUAUCUUAGGUAAUUUGCUUGGUGGAUCUGUGAUGCUCCGCCUGCCGUUCCUGCCUCUCAUUCACGGACGCUCGCUCCUGGGUAUUCUGCAACAGUGCCGAAUUCCCUGCCCUCACCCAGCUUCGCCUCUCUUAAUCAGACCAGAGGCAAAUCUUCAUUCUUUGUGCAGUGCAAGUAUGACAAGUAUAAAGCCAUGGCUGUACAGAAGAAGGGUUCAUAGAGUAAUCAGAGUAUGUGGUGCAGCCUGGUGACGUCCUUGGUCCUGAGAUUCCCAAUACAAGUGGAUGAUGCAAGGCUGAUAAUAGUCCUACUACAGAUAGUUAGAAAUUAGUGUUUAGAAUUUCAUUUUCACAUAUACACAUCUUGUAUUCUUUGGAUCGUCUUCUUUGUAAAGCUACAAAGCUAAUUC